Molecule: ribosomal RNA, 629 nt
Filed under: uncultured soil bacterium
Lineage: Bacteria
Description: bacterial SSU rRNA
Rfam family: Bacterial small subunit ribosomal RNA
Source: RNAcentral
ACGCUAGCGGCAGGCUUAAUACAUGCAAGUCGUGGGGCAGCAGGGGCGUAGCAAUACGUUCGCUGGCGACCGGCAAACGGGUGCGGAACACGUACACAACCUUCCUUAAAGUGGGGGAUAGCCCGGGGAAACCCGGAUUAAUACCCCGUAACAUAGUGAAGUGGCAUCGCUUUAUUAUUAUAGCAGUAAUGCGCUUAAAGAUGGGUGUGCGACUGAUUAGGCAGUUGGCGGGGUAACGGCCCACCAAACCUACGAUCAGUAACUGGUGUGAGAGCACGACCAGUCACACGGGCACUGAGACACGGGCCCGACUCCUACGGGAGGCAGCAGUAAGGAAUAUUGGUCAAUGGACGCAAGUCUGAACCAGCCAUGCCGCGUGGAGGAUGAAGGUCCUCUGGAUUGUAAACUUCUUUUACCUGGGAAGAAAUCCACAAAUUCUUUUGUGGUUGACGGUACCAGGUGAAUAAGCACCGGCUAACUCCGUGCCAGCAGCCGCGGUAAUACGGAGGGUGCAAGCGUUAUCCGGAUUCACUGGGUUUAAAGGGUGCGUAGGUGGGUUGGUAAGUCAGUGGUGAAAUCUCCAGGCUUAACUUGGAAACUGCCAUUGAUACUAUCAAUCUUGAAUACCG